RNAcentral lists this ribosomal RNA (575 nucleotides) under uncultured Neocallimastigomycetes. RNAcentral describes it as "partial large subunit ribosomal RNA". It matches the Rfam family "Eukaryotic large subunit ribosomal RNA", at positions 204 to 629 of the family's 3401-position model. The record is from RNAcentral. Lineage: Eukaryota; Fungi; Neocallimastigomycota; Neocallimastigomycetes.
CAUAGAGGGUGAGAAUCCCGUAUUUGGUUAUUCUUUCUAGCUUUGUGAUACACUUUCAAAGAGUCGGAUUGUUUGGGAAUGCAGUCCAAAAUGGGUGGUAAAUUUCAUCUAAAGCUAAAUAUUGGCGAGAGACCGAUAGCGAACAAGUACCGUGAGGGAAAGAUGAAAAGAACUUUGAAAAGAGAGUUAAACAGUACGUGAAAUUGUCAAAAGGGAAGCGUUUGACACCAGUGUUGUUUUUCCGAAAAUCAAUUAAGAAGGACUUGAUUUUGUGUUGUAUUGACCUUAUCAGCUUUCUUCACUCUUUUUCGAGUUUUUCUUAAUGCACUUUUCGGUUAACAAGUCAACAUCAAUUUCUUUUGUUGUAAAAGGGUAUUUGGAAGGUGGCUUUCUUUUCGGAGAAAGUGUUUAUAGCCUUAUACCUCUACAAUCGGAGAGAUUGAGGUCUGCAGCGUAGAUCCUUCGGGGCUAGAUACACUUGUGCUAAGUUAUAGCUUUUCAUAGACAACUUGUUGACUAUGUUUAGUCAUGUAGCUUACCCGCUUGUGCUAUUUUACCUACGCUUAGGAUGUUGA